RNAcentral lists this unclassified non-coding RNA (240 nucleotides) under soil metagenome. RNAcentral describes it as "partial contains 5.8S ribosomal RNA, internal transcribed spacer 2, and large subunit ribosomal RNA". The record is from RNAcentral.
AACGGUCUAUACCUGCGGUACCUGCGGAGGGAUCAUUACCGAGUGAGGGCCCUCUGGGUCCAACCUCCCACCCGUGUUUAUCGUACCUUGUUGCUUCGGCGGGCCCGCCUCACGGCCGCCGGGGGGCACCUGCCCCCGGGCCCGCGCCCGCCGAAGACAUCAUUGAACUCUGUCUGAAGAUUGCAGUCUGAGUAGAUUAGCUAAAUCAGUUAAAACUUUCAACAACGGAUCUCUAGAUCG